Long non-coding RNA from Suricata suricatta (meerkat), 391 nucleotides. RefSeq lists it as uncharacterized. NCBI's taxonomy places the organism in Eukaryota, Metazoa, Chordata, Mammalia, Carnivora, Herpestidae. The transcript has 3 exons. The record is from RefSeq and is a predicted model, not a curated record.
AAGAGGCCAAGCCAGAGACACCUAGCCAAGCCACACCUCAAUCACCAACCCAAAGAAACCAUGAGAUAAUAAAAAUUUGUUGUUUUAAACUGUUAAGCUAUGAGAAAAUUCUCAGAAGAUCCCAUGGGAUGAAGCAACCAGUCUUCCACCAUGCUUGUCAACUCAAAUCUCAGCUAAAGGUUACACCCAGUAGGAGAUAACCUCUCCUGAAGCUGUGCCCAGGCCUGGAAUAUGCUCUUCUUUGCCGAGACUAGCUGAAGCCCAGUGUCAUCCACUAAGCUACAAGCACUUGCUUCAGUUUAUGCUGACAAACCCUUUUCCUCAAAACCCAUCCUACGCUAAGUCUAUAUGUCUGAACUACUGAUAUACCAUUAAACAGUUGGUUAUACAA